Molecule: microRNA precursor, 166 nt
Filed under: Arabidopsis lyrata
Lineage: Eukaryota; Viridiplantae; Streptophyta; Magnoliopsida; Brassicales; Brassicaceae
Description: miR4222 stem-loop (aly-MIR4222)
Source: miRBase by way of RNAcentral
ACCAUCCCUAUGUUGAAAGCGGUAACAAUCUCGAUGAAAGAGAGGAUGUAGACGCUCAACUGAUAUAGGAAGCAAUUGUUUUGAUUAUUGCAUCCUUCACCUUGUUGAGCAUCUAUACCCACUCUUUCAUUCGAAAUUGUUACCGCCCUCAGCCUUUGGAUAUUUC